CACACACACAAAACCCCAGGCUUUGAAGCUUGCAAGGCCAUUAAAUACUAAUCAAGGUGGCUAAUUGCAGCAUUCAUACUUGCCGCACUGAGACUAUUCAUUGCUAUUCAACCUGGCCAACCAAGCAUUCCACAAGGUAGAAAGCGGCCAGGCUUGCAAACAGCAAGGCUAUUCAGUGCUAUUCAAUCUGGACAACCAAGGAUUCCACAAGGUAGAAAGCGGUAGAAAGCGGUCAGGCUUGCAAGCAGCAAGGCUAUUCAGUGCUGUUCAACCUGGCCAACCAAGAUUUCCCCGAGAUAGAAAACCCCCAGGCUUUGAAGCCACGAGGCUACUCUGUCCCAUUCAGCCUGCCCAUAUGUAGAAAGCGGCCAGGCUUUGAAGCUGCAAGACUAUUCAGUGCAAUUCAAGCUGGCCAAACGAGGAUUUCCUGACAAAGUAGCCAGGUUCACAGCAAUUUGAGGGUGCUACUCCAGAAAACGGCCAGGCUUUGAGGCUGCAAGGCUAUUCACUGCUAUUCCACCUGACCAACAAAGGAUUCCCAUAAGCCACAGCAACGCCUGGCCGGGCAAAGCUAGUAUGUUGUAUUAUUAGUAUAGCACAAUAUAAACAUAUAUUGCAAUAUUGUACUAUACUGCCAUAUUAGUAAUAUUACAUAUAAUAUAUAAGUGUAUUAUAUUACACUAGCUGUGCCCGGCCACGCGUUGCUGUGGCAAAGUCUGGUGGUCUGGGAAAUAAAGUAUCUUACAUUA
Molecule: long non-coding RNA, 749 nt
Organism: Anolis carolinensis (green anole)
Lineage: Eukaryota; Metazoa; Chordata; Lepidosauria; Squamata; Anolidae
Exons: 2
Source: RefSeq, a predicted model, not a curated record